AUUGAACGCUGGCGGCAGGCCUAACACAUGCAAGUCGAACGAGUGGCGGACGGGCGAGUAAUGUCUUGGAAACUGCCUGAUGGAGGGGGAUAACUACUGGAAACGUUGGCUAAUACCGCAUAACAUCCGAUGUGCCCCGAUGGGAUUAGCUGGUUGGUGGGGUAACGGCUCACCAAGGCGACGAUCCCUAGCUGGUCUGCGCGGAUGACCAGCCACACGGGAACUGAGACACGGUCCAGACUCCUACGGGAGGCAGCAGUGGGGAAUAUUGCACAAUGGGCGCAAGCCUGAUGCAGCCAUGCCGCGUGUAUGAAGAAGGCCUUCGGGUUGUAAAGUACUGUCAGCGGGGAGGCGUUACCCGCAGAAGAAGCACCGGCUAACUCCGUGCCAGCAGCCGCGGUAAUUC
RNAcentral lists this ribosomal RNA (406 nucleotides) under uncultured bacterium. RNAcentral's name for it is "partial 16S ribosomal RNA". It matches the Rfam family "Bacterial small subunit ribosomal RNA", at positions 30 to 526 of the family's 1533-position model. The record is from RNAcentral.